Non-coding RNA from Schistosoma rodhaini, 46 nucleotides. The record is from Rfam. Lineage: Eukaryota; Metazoa; Platyhelminthes; Trematoda; Strigeidida; Schistosomatidae.
GCACUGAUGAGAAGUUCCACAAUAGGACGAAACGGCCGUCCAGUGC